This 146-nucleotide microRNA precursor is filed under the name Ornithorhynchus anatinus (platypus). RNAcentral's name for it is "microRNA oan-mir-1422g precursor". The stretch from base 17 to 99 matches the Rfam family "mir-1422 microRNA precursor family". Lineage: Eukaryota; Metazoa; Chordata; Mammalia; Monotremata; Ornithorhynchidae. The record is from miRBase by way of RNAcentral.
GAUUAGAGGGAGCAUCAUGAUUCUGGUUUAAGUCGUGAUGAGUUUUUCUAUCAGUACAGAUAAUCUGGAAAAACUCGUCAUGACUGAUACCAUGAUCCUAUUGCAUACUCAAAUCCUUUACGUUUUUACAUUUCCCUCCAAACAUC